RNAcentral lists this ribosomal RNA (368 nucleotides) under uncultured prokaryote. RNAcentral describes it as "bacterial SSU rRNA". It matches the Rfam family "Bacterial small subunit ribosomal RNA", at positions 526 to 896 of the family's 1533-position model. The record is from RNAcentral.
CAGAGGGACCUAGCGUUGUUCGGAAUAACUGGGCGUAAAGGGUGCGUAGGUGGCUACUUAAGUAAAGUGUUAAAUCCUUGGGCUCAACCCAAGAACCGCAUUUUAAACUGGGUGGCUUGAGUGUGGGAAAGGAAAGUGGAAUUCCUAGUGUAGAGGUGGAAUUCGUAGAUAUUAGGAGGAACACCAGAGGCGAAGGCGGCUUUCUAGAACACAACUGACACUGAGGCACGAAAGCGUGGGGAGCAAACAGGAUUAGAUACCCUGGUAGUCCACGCCCUAAACGAUGAGUGCUAGACGUUGGAAUUUUAUUUCCAGUGUCGCAGCUAACGCGUUAAGCACUCCGCCUGAGGAUUACGGUCGCAAGACUA